AAUCCAUGGUGAGGGCAUUGAGCAAGUAAAUCCUUAAAUCUAUCUAAAUAUUUCCAAAAACUUUCACGUUCUAGUUGAAUGAAUUGGUUAAUUUCAUUUCUAAGUCU
This is a non-coding RNA of Beta vulgaris subsp. vulgaris (sugar beet), 107 nucleotides long. NCBI's taxonomy places the organism in Eukaryota, Viridiplantae, Streptophyta, Magnoliopsida, Caryophyllales, Amaranthaceae. The record is from Rfam.